Drosophila virilis is the source of this 1225-nucleotide long non-coding RNA. RefSeq lists it as uncharacterized. NCBI's taxonomy places the organism in Eukaryota, Metazoa, Arthropoda, Insecta, Diptera, Drosophilidae. The record is from RefSeq and is a predicted model, not a curated record.
GCUCGAUAGAAAGAUUAGCUCCAAUCAUGAAAGCAAUCACGAUUAAGGAUCAAGCAAAAGCUGCCAGCAUCAAAGACGACUCUGUAAUUGCUGAAGAUGAUGGUUCGAUAAAUAAGCCGGAAGAGGAAAAACACGCUGCCAACAUUAUUGCGGCUAAGUGAAAAGGUUGCUUGUAAUACAUCACAAUCAAAAUUCGUUUUUAUUUCAAUCCGAAAAUCUGUUCUUAUGUUUUUAAAACUGUUUCAUUAAAUUUUCUUUGGACUUACCCUAUAAUCGUAAUCAUGACGAUUCUCCAGGCUUAUAUCGCUGUACAUAUCCUCAGUUGUAUCACAGUUGGAGCUACGGCCAGAGGAGUUGAAACUCGAUGAUCUGUAGAGUUGGCUGAAAACGAGUGGAAAAAUAUAUGUAAAGAAUUGAAUUUACAAAUUUAAAACUUGCAGACUUUGCUACUGUGAAUUGUUUCGAGCGGUUUGUGUCUGUACUAUGCCAGUAUUUCUGGUGUCUGCGCUCAAUGGGAGCUUUUUAAGCAAUACGCCUAGUGCAGACACAAACCGCAGCACAAUCAAAUCAAAACUGUAAAAUGCAAUGCGUACCAAACUGUAUUUAGCCAAGACACUGACAAAUGUAUCUCGCGCUCUGGCUGCCAAACUGUGACUGUAAUACCGUGACUGUCAAACCAAUUCAAAUUGAAUCAAAAUGCAAUCAAGCUCAUAUAGAACAAAUACAUUUACAGCAAAGAAAAACUUACCUAGCUAAGGCAUUGGAACUUAUCUGCCUGCGGCCGGAACUGCAAACAAAUUGAGAAUAAAUGUUGAAAUUUAGUAAAUUAUUAAAAUAGAAUAUAUAACAUUAAAUACGAUUCUACCGUGUUCCGUAGCCCCAGUUAGCUCAAUAAUAGUUAAGCUAAUUCCUUAAAUUCCUUAUUAACAAAUGCAUUUGAUGCCCUUCAAGUUGAAGCCCCAGCAACGAAAUUUCUAUAAAUUGAUUGCCCAUUGAAGAAAAUGCAAAUAAACCAGCUGACAUUGAAGAAAACCCAAACAAAAAGCAACUAACGUGGCCACCGAAAAUAAGGAAAAAGAAAACCCAACACGUGAUAAAACAGAAAAUCAACAAAAACAACAACAGAAAAGUCAAAAGAAAAAAAGUAGGAAAACAAUGGCCACCCACGCAAACGAUUGAUGCCUACAGACACACAAAGUUAAAGAGAAACAGGUAAAAAAAACAA